AUUUGUUUAUUCCUGCACAGAGUAAAACUAUAUUAAAUGUGAAUCCCACAUAAAAAUAAAAUAAACAAUAUAAAUAAUAAAAUAUAUAAAUACAAAAGAGCAGAUAAAGAAUUGAGAGAAUUGCACACAGUAUGUAAAAUGCUGAAAUGCAGUAGUUGUACAGACAAUAAGGUGAUAAUGUAAGUCUAAUAUACAAUAAUAUAUUUAUUAACAUGAUACUGUAUAAUAUACAGUAUGUAUAAGGGAGCUUAAGUGAAUCAUACUGCAGCCACAGCGAGGAGCGAGGCGCCGUAUGAAAAACAGGAUUCGGUAUUUGGUUUUGGGCCUUCUGCCAAAUAAUCUCCAAAUUUAGUUUGUUUUGUAUUUUAUUUCGAUGCUUGAUAUCAGUUCUAGCAGCUGUGCUGAACUGCACUGGAUGAUUUAUUUAUUAUUAGUAUUGUUUAAUUCAAUAUUUUCAGUUGAUAAUUUCUCCUUCCCUCCACAGGACACUGAUUGCCCCUGUGCUGAUUGCUUUAGUGGGUGUGGCUCUUUCUGCACCAGUAAACGACGGCACAGAUAAUGAUGAAAGAGCACAGAGGUGGCUAGAAUUUACGAAUGGUAGGUGUUUGUUUAUUCCAAGCUUUUAAAUGAAAAUGUUUAAAAACUAAAUCUGAUACUUGAGUGAUUUACACCCAUAAUCCCACCUGUGUGUUUCUGUAUCAGGUGCCAACACUGUAGUUGAACCAACCCACAGCCCUGGAGACUUAGGUUAGUGCUGCUGUUAAUAACAGUAAUGUUUAAAGAACAUGUGUCUCAUAUUCAGACGAUUAGGCGCUGCUGAUUAAAAUAAACAUGCUGUAUAUAAAAAUCA
Molecule: long non-coding RNA, 850 nt
Filed under: Astyanax mexicanus (Mexican tetra)
Lineage: Eukaryota; Metazoa; Chordata; Actinopteri; Characiformes; Acestrorhamphidae
Description: lncRNA (ENSAMXG00005012114.1)
Source: RNAcentral